RNAcentral lists this ribosomal RNA (301 nucleotides) under uncultured bacterium. RNAcentral describes it as "partial 16S ribosomal RNA". It matches the Rfam family "Bacterial small subunit ribosomal RNA", at positions 509 to 807 of the family's 1533-position model. The record is from RNAcentral.
CAGUAGCCGCGGUAAUACGAAGGGUGCAAGCGUUAAUCGGAAUUACUGGGCGUAAAGCGUGCGCAGGCGGUUAUAUAAGUCAGAUGUGAAAUCCCCGGGCUCAACCUGGGAACUGCAUUUGAGACUGUAUGGCUAGAGUGUGUCAGAGGGGGGUAGAAUUCCACGUGUAGCAGUGAAAUGCGUAGAUAUGCGGAGGAACACCGAUGGCGAAGGCAAUCCCCUGGACCUGUACUGACGCUCAUGCACGAAAGCGUGGGGAGCAAACAGGAUUAGAUACCCCUGUAGUCCCUGUCUCUUAUAC